This 465-nucleotide ribosomal RNA is filed under the name uncultured bacterium. Its description in RNAcentral is "partial 16S ribosomal RNA". It matches the Rfam family "Bacterial small subunit ribosomal RNA", at positions 28 to 507 of the family's 1533-position model. The record is from RNAcentral.
GACGAACGCUGGCGGCGUGCUUAACACAUGCAAGUCGAACGGAAAGGCCCUGCUUGCAGGGUACUCGAGUGGCGAACGGGUGAGUAACACGUGGGUGAUCUGCCCUGCACUUCGGGAUAAGCCUGGGAAACUGGGUCUAAUACCGGAUAGGAGCCAUCUUUAGUGUGAUGGUUGGAAAGUUUUUUCGGUGUAGGAUGAGCUCGCGGCCUAUCAGCUUGUUGGUGGGGUAAUGGCCUACCAAGGCGGCGACGGGUAGCCGGCCUGAGAGGGUGGACGGCCACAUUGGGACUGAGAUACGGCCCAGACUCCUACGGGAGGCAGCGGGGGGGAAUAUUGCACAAUGGGCGCAAGCCUGAUGCAGCGACGCCGCGUGGGGGAUGACGGCCUUCGGGUUGGAAACUCCUUUCGCUAGGGACGAAGCUUUUUGUGACGGUACCUAGAUAAGAAGCACCGGCUAACUACGUG